UUUUUAUCUUAUUUUACUCUUGUAGGACACAAGUAGCAUGAGUGCGGUACCGCAUGAUGCAGGCUCUUCUAUUACAAUUGGAGACAAGGGAAAGGUUGUGUUUGAAAAUCUUGAUGACAUACCUCCUCUAGCGAAGAUAUAUGUCAAGACUCCUCCAAAGAUGAAGAGGAAAUGUGGAGAUCAGAUCCUUCAAAGAGGAGCACUGCGGUGAAGAGGAUUGAUUUUAAUGACCCAUCAGUAGUUUAGGAUGUUAUAGAUCAUUUUGGG
Molecule: long non-coding RNA, 267 nt
Organism: Cryptomeria japonica (Japanese cedar)
Lineage: Eukaryota; Viridiplantae; Streptophyta; Pinopsida; Cupressales; Cupressaceae
Exons: 3
Source: RefSeq, a predicted model, not a curated record